UACGUAGGGUGCGAACGUUGUCCGGAAUUAUUGGGCGUAAAGAGCUUGUAGGCGGUUUGUCGCGUCUGCUGUGAAAAUCCGGGGCUCAACCCCGGACUUGCAGUGGGUACGGGCAGACUAGAGUGUGGUAGGGGAGACUGGAAUUCCUGGUGUAGCGGUGAAAUGCGCAGAUAUCAGGAGGAACACCGGUGGCGAAGGCGGGUCUCUGGGCCGAUACUGACGCUGAGGAGCGAAAGCGUGGGGAGCAAACAGG
This 253-nucleotide ribosomal RNA is filed under the name uncultured bacterium. Its description in RNAcentral is "partial 16S ribosomal RNA". It matches the Rfam family "Bacterial small subunit ribosomal RNA", at positions 524 to 776 of the family's 1533-position model. The record is from RNAcentral.